AACAAACGCUGGCGGCGUGCCUAAUACAUGCAAGUCGAACGAGGUAGCAAUACCUAGUGGCGCACGGGUGAGUAACGCGUGGAUAAUCUGCCCUUCAGUGGGGAAUAACUCUCCGAAAGGAGAGCUAAUACCGCAUAAGACCACAGUGACUUUGGUCACAGAGGUUAAAGGAGCAAUUCGCUGAAGGAUGAGUCCGCGUCAGAUUAUGGUAGUUGGUGGGGUAACGGCCUACCAAGCCUUCGAUCUGUAGCUGGUCUGAGAGGAUGAUCAGCCACACUGGAACUGAGACACGGUACAGCCUACUACGGGAGGCAGCAGUAGGGAAUAUUGGUCAAUGGGCGAAAGCCUGAAUCAGCAACGCCGCGUGAGCGACGAAGGCCUUAGGGUUGUAAAGCUCUGUUGCAAGGGAAGAAAAAAAUGACGGUACUUUGAGAGAAAGGACCGGCCAACUUCGUG
RNAcentral lists this ribosomal RNA (456 nucleotides) under uncultured bacterium. Its description in RNAcentral is "partial 16S ribosomal RNA". It matches the Rfam family "Bacterial small subunit ribosomal RNA", at positions 29 to 507 of the family's 1533-position model. The record is from RNAcentral.